Alnus glutinosa is the source of this 821-nucleotide long non-coding RNA. RefSeq lists it as uncharacterized. The transcript is spliced from 3 exons. Lineage: Eukaryota; Viridiplantae; Streptophyta; Magnoliopsida; Fagales; Betulaceae. The record is from RefSeq and is a predicted model, not a curated record.
CUCUACUUUCUUUCUUUUUCUUCCCCCACCCGCACGCUCAUCUUCCUCUUCUUCCCCUUUUCUUCCUUCUUCCUCUCUUGGUUGAAGCUCUCUCAGUUUUCCCUUUCUCUCCACGCCCCAGCAGCACCCUCUUCCCCUCUUCUUCUCUUCUUCUUCCCUUCCUCUUCUUUCUUCUUUCUCUCCUUCAAUCGCCCAGCCAGCAGCCCCUCUCCCCUGUUUCACGCAGCCCUUCCUCUUCUUUUCCAUUUCUUUCUCUUCUCCCCCCCUCCCGUUGGCCAUGCUUGGAAUUGCAACACACGAACCCCCUCGUCUCUUCUCUUUCCUUCCUCUCUUCUCCCCGUCUUCUUUCUUCUUCGGUUUACACCUGGAACCCGUGAGGCUGAUGGAGCCGAGAGAGGUUUUCUGCAGCGAUUAGAGUCCGAAAAUGCAGAAAUUUCAAGGAUAGUGUCCGGAUUGGAGACUUCAAUUGAUUCUUCAAUGUGGAGUCCAAGUGACUAGAAUUUGAGGGGAUGUUCAAGUCAGGAGUCAAAUACAGCCAGAUAGUGUUCCUUUGGCUGCAGGUACUCGGGUCGUAGUUGAUGGGGUUGUAGACGUGCAGUUGGGAUAUUAUGACCGAAGCUCGCCGCGAUGGUCGUAAUUGCGGGACCAUAGGCGUCCUCAGUUUUAUAGGUUUUGUUGGGCUUGUGACGCAUGUGUCACUCGUUAUUGUAUAAAGCCAUUCUGUUAUGUAUUUAUAUUGAGGAAAGACUUAAACACAUAGAUAUUAAAUGGCUCUUGUUAUUAUUAGUUUAUGAUAUAUGUUUAAGAUUUGAUUUUCGCUA